UAAUUUGUAACGACAAUACCCAUCAAGAGAAUUAUCAAUCUAAUAGUUUGACCAUUUCUUCUACAUGUUUUGUUUUUUCUCAAAAUUGUUCAGAUUUACAGAUCCAGUUUGAUCAUUGCAAUAAUGGAUGAAGGUCAAUCUGCAGAUGGGAAUGAAGAUAUUCAUCAAAUAAAAUUGUCAAAAACCUCCAAAUCAAAUCGACGAAAUACCAAAGGUAUCCAAAAAUAAUAUGUAUUUUUUUUUGAAAGGAUCCAUAAAUAUUAAAUUGUUAUCCAUUUAAUUGUUAUAUAUUCAAUAUUUAAAUGGUGGCUAACAUUCAUUUGUACAUUACAAAAUUUGAAUGAGCUAUUUUUUUUUUUUUUUUUAAUUUUCAAUUCAAACUGCCAAAGAUGAUAACCAUGCUUUGGUCACUAUUCAAGACUCUAAAGGCUUGUUUGAUCUCGUAAUCAGUAAGUUUCAUAUAUUUGAAAUGAAAGUAUUUGAAUUCCAAAAGAAAAUUCAAGAUGAAUUUCAACUUCCUGAUAUAGGUUAGUAUCAUUUUUCCCUUCCAACUAAAAAUUAAGUCUAAUUUUUAGUCAUUAAAUAUACCUUGCAAUUUUUUAUUUUUUAUGUUUUCAAUCCUCUAUAUUAAUAUUAUGCAGUAGUUUCACUAUAGUAUAAGUUAUGAUAUAUUUAAAUAUAUGAUGACAUUUUACCUUUUGUUUUAAAUAGUGAUGUCUAAAGACAAUACACCAGACAUUAUCUCCAUGACUUUAGAACUUGGAGCAGCACGCUAUAUUGUUAACGCAUUUUGUAAUGAAAACUUUAGAGACAUUUGGAAGUAUGCAUUGGAAGCAAAGAAAAAUAAACUAUUUAUUGAUAGUUUAUCUGCAGCAGGUGAAGAACAAGAGACAUCAACUGAUCUACUACAAACAAAAAAGAAAUGUAGUAAAAGAAAGAGUUGUGAUUAUAGCCAAGAUGAAGGGGAGUUUGAAAUUAAUAAGAAAUUUAGUAAAAUCAUCACAACUCCCCUUCAUCUUAACAACUCCAAACUCCCAUUCACCUUGGUGAUUACCAAAACUCUUUCUUUUACUACAUUUCUUUUUUGUUUGUAGUUGAUCAAUUGAUGUUUCUUCUUCUUCACUUGCUGCAAAUAAACUAUCAAUAAAUAGUUUAUUUUUCUUUGCUUCCAUAGCAUAUUUCCAAAUAUCUCUAAGGUCUUUAGGACAAAAUGGUUUAACAAUGUAGGGUGCUGCUCCCUGUUCUAAAGUCAUGAGAUUAUGUUUGGUGUAUUGUCUUUCGACAUCACUAUUUGAAACAAAAGGUAAAAGUCAUAUAUUUAAACAUAUCAUAACGUAUACGAUAGUGAAAGAACCGCAUAAUAUUAAUACAGAGUAUUUAAAACAUAAAAAGUUAAAAAGGACAAAAUUGCAAGGUAGAUUUAAUAGUUGGGAGGGAAAAAUGAUACUUACCUAUAAUAGGAAGUUGAAAUUCAUCUUGAAUUUGCUUUUGGAAUUCAAAUCCAUUCAUUCCAAAUAUAUGAAACUCCCCGAUUAUGAGAUGAAACAAGUCUUUAGAGUUUCGAAGAGUGACCAAAGCAUGAUGAGCAUAUAUGGCAGUUUGAACUGAAAAUUAAAACAAAAUAAAUAAAAUAAGCUCAUUGAAAUUUAUUUUUCUUUGCUUUUGUUCUAAAGCUGAAAAUUGUUUUAAAGACACAAGCAUUUGUUGUUGUACAUUUAAUAUUUCUUCGGAACAUCAUAAAUGAUUUGAUUUACUUUUUCCCACUCCUAGAUAACAUUAAGAAAGACAAUGAGGUUGAAAUUUAACAAUUUUGAUUUGAAUUCUUCUUAAUAGACUUUUAUGGUCAAUACAAAGGUUUAUGUAUAUCUAGACAUGUGGAACUCAAUGAUUUGGUAUAAGAAAAAGUUAAAAAGAGCAAAGAAAUUGUUUCUAAUGAUAAUAAAAAAGAAGCUGAAAUGAUGAAAAAUUCUAAGAGUCACGAUAAAGAAUUUUCUAGUUCCUCUGGCAAGGACUGGGAAAGAAAUGAUGAAAUGAUUCAAGGAGCACUGAUAGAUGGACCACCUUAGGUGGUUCUACCACUCAUACCACCCUUGUGUGGCACAUUUAAUUAUUAAAAGAAAUAGCUUAAUAAUCCAUGUCAUACCAGAAGAUAAAAAGAAAAAGAAAGUUGUACAUUCUCUCUCUCUCUCUCUCUCUCUCUCUCUCUCAUCUCAUUCACUCGGUCCUCUCUCUCUCCCACUCUUGUUCCAUUUUCUCUAGGGAAGAUGAUUUCCACAACCAUUCUCGUUGAUGCCGUCGCCGUUACAUCUUGAUAGAUUUUUCGGAAGGUUGAUCUCCAACCACAUCCUUGUUGUCACUGUCGAUUUUUCUGUGCUCAGGAAUCCCUAUUUUGUUCCUCCUGUUUUCUUCCUCUUCCAUCUUCAACUCAGGUAUAUUCAUCUCUGGUCUUUUUGUUCGAUUCACUAGUUCCGACUUGCGAUUUUUGUUUGUUCCUUUCUUUUUGUGUGUGUGAUUCAAUUCUCUUGUUCCUCAUAUCAGUUUAAUUUGAAUUAAAUUUAAACAUUUUUUAUGAAAAAUGUAAAUCUCAAUUCGGUUCAUUUAUCAGUUUAAUUUGAAUUAAAUUUAAACAUUUUUGUGAAAAUUGUAAUCUCAAUUUGGUUAAUCCAGAGUACUAAGAUGGGAUAUAAAGUGAUUUUUUUGAACCAUAUAUGCACUUUAGCUAAGAUAUUGAAGAUGUGUAGUUAAUCAUGGGUGGAAUUUGAUGUUAUUAGUAUUUGAUUGAGUUUGAUCGAUUAAGUCUUUAGAGACUGGGUUAGUCUCUUAAUAAAUCCUUACUUUUUUUUUUAUGGAAAUUGAGUCAGUUUAUUAGUUAACAAUGGAGGUGUAAUGCUGAUUAGAUUUCAUAAUAAGAUAAUUUAAUCAAAUGUUUAUUGGUAUCUUAAUUGCAUUAGAUUUAUGUUGUGAUAUUGAUAAACUUAUAGGUGACCAAUUUUGAAUGCAGAACAACAAUUUGGUCACGCCUUUGAAAAUUUGUGGUUAUAUGCUUCAAUUAUUUGGUUAUAUGUAUUUUUCCUGUGAAAACAAUAUCAAUUUUUCAAUUUAUCAACAAAAUAUCAAAAGUUACCACCUUCUAUGUUUCUUGGUCUCUUAAUCACGCUAAUAAAUGACAAAUUUUGAACGCAGGAAAAAAACUAUGGUCGUGCCUUUGAAAAAUCGUUGCUAUAUGGUUUUGUUAUUUGGUUUUGUGUAUUUUUUCUUCGAGAAAAAUAUCAGUUUUGCAAAUUUAUCAGCUAAAUAUCAAAAGUGACCACCUUCUAGGUUUCUUGGUCUCUAAAUUACAUUUGAUUUAUGUUGUGAGUUCACUUCAAAGCUCAAUUGUACAACCAUUUCUGUUGUGAUGAAUCUGAAUCUUAACGUGGAUGCAAGAUGCUUCAAGGAUGAUACAAUGAGAUAGUAGUCUAGAUACUGUAUAAGAUUUAUAGAAUUUGUUGCAACAAAACUAGAAUGAAGGCCACUAUCCUCUGCUUUGGCCGAAGUAUUAGCUCUACAGCGGUGUCUCCAAUGGAUCCUCACAACAAAUCAAAAUGGACACGUCCUCGUAGAAACUGAUUCUAAAGUCACAAUGAAAUGUAUCCAAGGUCUGAUUUGGAUGAUUGAGAUAUAAAAUAUUAUUCCAGACUGCGUAGACAUUUCAUCCACUAUGUCCAAUUGUGUUGUUCCUUUUAUUAAAAGAACUAAGAUUAUUCUUGUCCAUAGCCUAGUGGUAGUAGAAAAAAGUUUGGUUUUAACUCAUGGUUGGGAUAUGUCCCUAAAACCGCAGCCUCUGCUACUUAUACUAAUAGGCAUAACCAUCUUUAAUCGAAUACUUGUUUGAUUGUAAAAAUAAUUAUUCAUGUAUCAAUGUUGCACUAUGAACACAGAUAAUUGCAUCUAGUCACUUAACUUUCUAUCUUGAUUAUCAUGUAACUUAUAGAUGAGUAAUUUUGGAUGCUUGAAAAAAAGAUGGCUAUAUCUUUAUAAUACUGUGGUUAUAUGUUUCAAUUACUUGGUUACUAGGAAUUAUCUUGUGAAAACUAUAUCAUUUUAAACCAAUCUAUCAAAGAAAUACUGAAAGUAACAAUUUAUUAUACUUCUUUGACUAUAAUUCCAUUAAGUUUCUUUUGUGAGGUUGGUAAACUUACAAAUGAGAAAUUUAGAAUGCAUGAAAAAAAUAUGGUUACUCCUUUGUAAAAUUGUGGGUAUAUGCUUCAAUUAUUUGGUUACAUGGGUUAUCAUAUGAAAACUAUAUGUCAAUUUAAGUCAAUAAUAUACCAAAAAUAACCACCUAUUACGUUUCUUGAACUCUAAUUCCAGUAAUUUUUGUUAUGUUAAUUGAAAAAAAAAAUAUCAGGAACUUGUGAAAUAACCAAACAGUUAAAAUGUGUAUCCACUUUUCAUCAAAAGAGUAACUACAAAUUUUUUAGUAUUGAAAUUAGCAUGUGACUUUGUAUAUCGUCUCUUAAUUACAACACACAUAAAAAGGGCACACUCAUGACAUUUCUCUGAUAAGUUUUGAGAAAUUUUAAAAAUUUGACAAGAACGUGUGAACUUAACAAAUUGCUGAAGCAUCUUUAUUGUAGAAAUUAACAUUAUCACCUCAUAAUUUUACAAGUUACUUAAAAGGGACACACUCAUGGUAUUUCUCUUAUAAGUUUUGAGUAAUUUCAAAAAUAUGACAGCAACAUGUGAACUAGCCAAAUUGUUGAAGCAUGUAUCCACUUUUUAUCAAAGGAGUACCUAAAAAAAAAAAUAGUGUUGAAAUUAACAUUUGUUACUUUUUAUCAUCUCAUAACAUUAUAUAAACAUAUAAAAGGGACACACUCGUGGUAUUUCUAUGAUAAGUUUUUAGAAAUUUCAAAAAUAUGAAAGAAACUCGCGAACUAACCAAAUUGUUGAAGCUUUUAUCCACUUUUUAUCAAAAGAGUAAACCAUUUUUUUACCAAAUUUCAUUACAUACAAAAAUAAGUUACGAACUUAUAACAAAAUGAUAAUAUCUUCCAAUGGAACUAAAACUUAGCAUGUCUUGUUAUAAUUUUACAAUAGAACUAUAACUCAUCAAGUCCUAUCACUAAUUUACAAAUUUCCUGCAAAGGGAUGAACUUUUCCUUGUGAUUGAGUUCACCUCAUCCUGUAUCAUCUAUGAUGGCACGUUAUUAGGUUGACUUGUUGAUAAGUAUCAAUCCUAGAUAAUUCAAUUGAUCUAAGCACUGCAUUCAAUAUCAAAGCUCUCAUUUUCACAACUUUCAUGGAUGUGUUGUUUUUAUCAAAAUCAACUUGCUAAUCAACGGAUCAACCUGAAAAUUCAUCAAUGUUAAUGCUUCUAUAUCGAACUUAAGAAAAUAAUAAUAGAAGGUAACCUAACAUGUUAUUGAAAUUAGCAUAGUCCAUUUUUUUUUUUUAUCAUUACUUGUUCAAUGGCUUAAUGAGCAACUAUAUUUGUUCUUGGACCAACUUUUAAUUAAUCAUAAUCUAACAAGAAUACAGAAUCUAACACACAGAAACAUCAUUGAUCAAAGGAAGUAACAUACCUUUUUGUUCUGUUUCAUGGUUCAUGACUAAAUGAACAUGUUGAAAAGCUUGAAUAAGGAAUGCUAAGUAAAUAAAACUACACCCAAAUAAAUUCAUCAUUUUGUAAACUAACAGCAGGACUUAACAUAUAAAACUAAACAAGAAACAUGCAAAAACACCCCAAUGAUGCUAAAAAAGCAAUGACAACAAAUCAAAGAAACCCAAGAUAAGAUAUGUGUAGCCAAAACCAAAUGCCUCUACAACUAAAAGUACAACUUAGUCCAACUAACCGCACAAUUAAAAGGGUUCCAAUAACCCCAUGAAGCUUAAACAAAGAAGAUACAUGAUCAAAUGAAACAGCAGAGCAAUGAAUCCCAAAAAAUAUGUUAUGUGAAGUACUCCCUCCGGUCCUAUUUAUAAGAGAAGUUUAGGUCAACAGUAUUUGGACUGAAUUUUUAACUAGAUACAUCAACUUUUGUUGACAAAAAAUUCUCUUAUAAAUAGGACCGGCGGGAGUAUAUUGCUUGGGACGCCUGACCAAUUCAAAACUGAACAUAAGACAUCCCCUAUGACCACAAACUCAUUAAUAUAAUCACAAGAUUCAUCAUCAAAAACAUCACAACUCCGCACAACCAUACAAUUCAACCUACAAGCUUAUUCACCAUGAAUCAUUCAUAGGCAUAAUUCUCUUCAAACAUGAAAAUUACAAAUUCUUUAAACUGUACACUAAUCAACUGAACUACUACUACGAGAAAAAUGAAACUACACAUCAAUUCAUAAUAUAAGUCCAGCAAAACCCAUUUAAGAUGUUAUGAUGAUUUUAAAUAGAUUUAAUUUAAUCACAAAAUGGAUCACAAACAUUUCCUUCUUCACCUAAUUUAUUCUACUAUUAUGUAUACAAUUUACAGAGAAUACAUUUUAAUGGGAUAUUCUAAUGAAUAACAAUAUUUCACCUUAGAUCUUGAAACUGAUUAUUGAAUUUAAUGUUUCUUUUGCAACAAUAUUCACAACAAUUAUAACAAAUACAAACACAUGUUCUCAACACUAGUUUAAUGCACUUAACCAUAUUAUAACAAAUAAUUAACCACACUUUUUUUUCUUUCCAAAAUUCCCGCAGUUAGCCAUUUUUUAACAUAACUUUGACCACGAAUCACUAAAGACAUACUAAAUAAUUGGAGGAGAACUUGUGAAUUUUGACUGAGAAAAUAACAAUGAGAGGUGAAUGUUAUUCUAUGUAUAACAUGUUUCACACAAACUAACAAAAGAAUGACAUAACUUAACCAAUACAAAUUAUCAUCCCAACCCCAUUUGUAGAUCCCAUCAAAUGCAACCAACAACAUAAGAUCUUAAUAGGCAACAACCCAAAAGGAGACAAUAAGACAGUAAUGUAACAGAAGAUUUUAACAAAAUUAUGACCUAAACUUCUAAAUACUAUCAGGCUUCAAUUAACUCAUAAUUCUCACAAAAUCAAUAUCAUAAUAUGAUUAAUUUCUACACCAUGAAAUUCUAAUUCCUUUGAAGUUGUUCACAAAUAAUUUCAAAUCAACACAAAUCAUUAAGGUUUAACAAAUCAUUUAAAAAAAAACAUUCAAUUUUGGAGAAAAACAUUCAAGAUGCAGACAUAUAAACCAUAAACACAAAUCCUAGUCAUAAAAUAAAAUGAAAAUUUGAGAUUAACCUCGCCUAAGAAUAGAGAGAUUGUGGGAAGAAAACAAUUGCUGAUUGUGAACCGACAGUGAUUGUGAGACAACAGUUGUGUAACGAAAACGGGUUGGUCGGAAGAGAUCGCAGAAGAGGACAAACAGUGGGAGGAGAUCGCGUGUUGGUAGAGAGAGACUUCUCCAGUGAGGAUAGAGAGAAAUGAAAGAUAUGAUGUUUCCUUUUACCUUCUUAUUUUAUGUUUGUUUUAAUUUUAUUUUUAAUGUUUUAUAAGCUGCUUUCCAUGUCACUAGGCCUCUUUUUUUAAUAUUUUUUUUACCAACUCAAGAGUGGUAGGAGGGUGUAUCACCUAAAGGGUGUUCACGUAUCUUUUUCAUAUCAGUUAUAGCAAAACCCACUAAUUAUUGGUGCAAGAAAUAUUAACACAAAAAACCUUUAUUUAUAUGACCAAGUAUUUAUAUAUUUCUUUCUAUUCUCUGUUGUGUGACUUUUUUCCAACACUAAUUCAAGGUAAAUUUCAACAAAUAAGAACUUUAAAAUAACAAACAAAAAAUUAACCCACACAUGUUUCAACAAAAAAUAACAAAAAAGUAUAACUUAGAUAUAUUUCAAGCCUUAACCACUACAAUAUGUAUCGCAACAUUCGCGAUGCAAGCAAUCAUGACUGCAACCGCAGCCACAAUUUAUGAACGUAAGGUAUUGUGAAUGAAUGAGUGGUAAAUGAAUGUAGUGGUAGCCGAUAAUAGAUAUGGUGAAAAAUGCACGUUUAGGGGCUAAAAUAAAAGCAUCUCAGUCAAGAAAUGUUGUGAUGUUAGCUAACACCGGCGCAUAAUAACUUACGUUGGGUGCCACCGCGAGUUAACUCACGCUAAAGUUAUUUAGGGAAAAUCGGGGUGGAAUGAGAAAUACCAUAAGGAGAAAAGCAAUUUUUGAAUCAUAAUAACACUAAAAUAUAAAUGGGUUUUUCUAACCUAUGCAACAUUGCAUAGAAUAAGGUGUAAUAAAUGUACCUCUUUUUUUCAAAAAAAAAAAAACUAUCAUAUUAAUUUCCCUCCAUCUCUCUCCUCUACCACUCUAUUUAUUGUAUUUUUUGAAAAACUAAAUAUUCAUCUUCCAAAUACUACCUCCGGUCCUAUUUACAAGAGACAAUUUACUUUUUAGAUACAUUGAAUAAUUUAUAUAUUUGGUUUAGGUUCUUGACUAUAUACAUACAUUGAAUAAUUUACUUUUUACAACUCAAUAUUUAGUUCAGCUUGGUUCAUUCACAAUAUUUUUUCCUUGUGCGUUAUAUAUUUUUCUCAGGUGACAAGUGCUCAAAACUCACUCAUUUGUUCUCAUAUGACAGCUAUACCACAAUAAGUUAUAUAAUUACCCUCUUUCAAUUUUUUCACGUUUUUCUCAUAUGUUCUCAACUAAUUCCUUAUGUAACGUAGCUAUGACUAUGCUACACUACUUAAAUUGCAAUUGUACAUCCGAAUGACUAUUUUUUAUAUUUUACGGAAUGAGAUUAGUCUUUGAAUUUGUUGCUACUAUCUAAAUUUUUGGAGUUAAAUUUGUUCUUGUUAUCUAAAUCCUUCCAUAUAGUUAUUUUUGGAGUAUAUAAAUGUUCUGCUUUCAUAAUUGAGUUAAAUUUUUUCUGGCUUCUAUAUUUAAAUAAAUUUUCUUCGCACUCAGCGUUCCAUUUAAUUCAUCAAUACUUUUCCAUGCACUUAAAAAAAUGGUUAUAAAAAUAAAAUAAAAAGUGAAUGGUUAAUAUGAUAGUCUUUGUUGAAAAAAGAGGUACAUUUAUUGCACCUUAUCCUAUGCAAUGUUGCAUAGGUUAGAAAAACCCUAUAACAAGAUGGAAUAAGCCAAUGAAACAUUGGUAUAUAUAUUUGUGGGUUAUACCAUGGAUAUCCAAAAACAGUUGUUUUCUUUGGCACAUUAAUUGGUUUAUUCAUGAUAGCGAAUGGUCAAAACUCAGUGGCGUUUUUGGUCCAUCCUCCCAAUUCUUGCACUUUAAAGAAGUAGAAAACAGAAGCUGUGAAUAUAUAAAAUUAGAGUAUUUUUUAAUCAUAUCUAAAGAGAGAAUCUAUAUUGCUUUGAAAGAAUGACUUCAUUAUUCUAAUACAGUUGAAACAUAGCACACUAAAUGAGGCAAAUAGUGAGGUGGAAAUUCGAUCCUUCUAAUUUCAAACAAAGACACAAAAGAGAAGAAAACAUAUCGGUAUAAAAUUUUAAUUCCUUUUGUGCAAUCUCUUUCAUAUAUUAUGAAGUGGUGAUAACUUUUACCUUAUGACAUUGGAUGUGUUCUCUCAACCACUUCAUAAAAUGGAGCAUAUUAUGAUUCUAUUUCUAAAAGCUGAACAUGAAAAAUAAUAAAGAAAGAAUCUUAAUGGAAAAACUUAUUUCAAGACUAUAUAUGAUACUAGCUCCUUCAAGCAUAUGCCAUUGUUCUUAAAAAAGGAGAAUUAGUAGCAUUCAAGAGAAGUAUAUCCAAAGCAUAAAACCCUUGAGAAUUAGCCUAUAUAACUUGUUGGGAGUGUCAUUUGAUACUUAGCAAACUAGACACAUUAAAGUAAGCAAAUCAGUCAUAGGGCAUGUCUCUAUUGGCAGGUGAUAUGGUGAUAUUUCAUUUGACUUUAAGGCUCUAGAAAUUCACUUGCCAAAGGAGAGCUGCCCUACGAGUGUUUAGCUUAAACAUUUUUUACAUUUUUCCUUGUUAUUCAUUGCAAGGAGCUUCUCAGCUUUAAAUAAAGGCAUGAUUUUGUUAGGGAUGUCUUUUUUGAUAUAUUUAGGUGGGCGGUCGUAACUUUGAAGAAGGAGACGCUCGUUAACUUCUUGGUCGACUCAGAAAAAAGAAAAUUGACACUUAGGCCAACAUAUGUUCUUGUGUAUGUGUGGGUAGGAGGGUAACAUGCAUGUUUGAACUUGACUGAGGUCUCCCCGAGUGACUGUAUCCUCUUCAAGGUUGCCACACUCGACGAAGUUUGGCAAUUCAUAAAGUGUCUCUUUUUUUUUUUCUUCUUUUUCUGAAUGGACAAUAUUAGUACGGUAAUUGUUAUGCUAAUUUUUUCUCCUUUCUAGGACUUGAACCCUAAACCUCUAACUCCUUAUAACCUUUUUCUCAAACCAGUUGAGCUACCCUAUCUUGAAGGGAUAUACAUUUCAACACCACCUCUAUUGUAGACAUUAAAACUCACACGCUAUAAUUCAUAAAAUUGAUUAGUUCAUUUUUUAAACUCAUCAUCAUGCCAUCUUCAAUCAGUAUCAAAGUACCUUAGCAGUCUCAUCAUCUUAUAGGUAGGAACUAUAACAAAAAGUACGAGUGUUAAUUGUGACAAUAAGCGAUUUUUGGAUAGUUUCUUGAACUACAAGCUAUUGUUAGAAAGUACAGAUGAUUAACUACUUGUUAGUUAGUUAGUUAUGUUGUUAAUUAGUUAGAUAAGCUUGUAUGUAAAUAACUUACUCUAAAUACACUUGUAGAGUCUGCAACAUAUUUUGUCAACAACUUCUAUUGGUGAUGAACCCAAAAUUAAACAUUGAGCAGUAAAAGGAGGAUCUUGCCAUUCAACUAAAGGAAGAAAGUUGAACCAAAGGGAAGGUUGGUGGUGAACAAAUUCUAGGUAUUGCACUAAAGAAAGAUUCAAGACUUCAUUUUGUCCAUCCAUUUUAGGAUGGUAGAAAGUACUCAUUCUCAACUUGAACAGUUUGCGCCAAAUAUUAUUGAUGAAAGCAUGAUCCAUGUCAGAGACUAGUCUUCUAGGUAACAUUACCAUGAGGAAGGAAUAAAGGUGAAGUCAAUAGAAAGAUCUUCCCAUAUGGAAUAAUUAACUAGCAAAUUGAUUGAUAUUUGGCAAGUCUAUCAGAACUCAUCAAGUAAUAAAAGAGUUUGUAUCCACAGGUAUUAUACGAUUAGUUAGAAAACUUACCAAUUAUAUGUUAGUUAUAAGUGAUCAAUUUAGAGGGUUUGCAUAAACUUUGGUUUUAAAGAAUGAAAAAAAAUUGAAUAAAACAAGGAUGGAACAAGCGAUUAGAACUUCUGAAUUUCUUACGCUAAUUAUCACAUUAAGAUGAUGUAAUAUGUCUAAAGCGUUUAUCUAAUGAACAUUUAUCCAAGAUCCAGUUACAAUAACCAAGACUAACAGACAAUUGUUUCCUAGUUCAUUUCAUAAGGAUACUUGAAUAAUUCUAAAUUUUAACUGCAUAAAUAGGUACUCAAUAUGGUUAAAGUAGAUCUUAACGAGCAUAAUGAAGCUGCCCUUGGUAAUGGAGUUGUUUUGAUGAUGUUUGAUUAAAACUAGGUAUUAAGUGUGUUUGAUGAUGUUUAUUGUUUACAUGUUCAUAGUAAUUACUAACGAUGUUUACAUGUGCAUAGUAAUUAGUAUAUAUUAAAGCACCUAGCCAUCCAUGAUCUUAAGUUUCUUCAAAGUGUCUCGUCUGUCAAGUUUCAUUUUGUGGCAAAACUCAUUUCUCCGUACCUUUGAAUCGUAUCACAAAUUGAUGAUUUGUAUCAUGCUCGAAUCGAAUCACAAUUUGGUUGUUCGUAUCAUUUGAGUUCUCUAAUCUUGUGAUUUGCCUGAACAAAUCGUAUCAAAUAUUCUUUAUUUGUAUCAAUCUUCAUCUAAAAUUUUUUGAAUUGUAUUAAAUAUUAUUUAUUCGUAUCAAUCUUUAUAGCUUCAUAUUUAUCCUUGCCUGAAUGAAUCAUAUCGAAUAUUCUUGAUUCGUAUAUGUUGGAUUUUUAUUUGUGUUGGCCGCAUUAUGUUAAAAAAAAAAUAUUCUAGCAAGAUGUUGGGAAAGCUGUCCUAGACAUGUUAGUACAACAACUUAACUUAAGGUGAAGUAUUAUGUUUCGCAAUCUUGAAAGAUUUGGUUUAUGGGUGAGAUCAUUGAAGAUUUGAUAGAAGAGAUGAUUCACGUAGCUUGUGCUCCAAGAAGCGUGUGGUUCUAGAAGCCUCCUUUGUCGUUUUGUCCUUGACCGUGUUUUAGUAUUUAAUGUCCUAAACAUUUUAGGAAACAUUUUAUAUGCUUCUAUAAAAUUGUAGCUGAAGACACUAUUGGAUCAACUGUAUUGUUUAGCCCGACAGAUGAUCAAGCACAUGCACUCUCUGUCUAUAUAAAGGAAGACUCAAACCUAAAGAAGACUACUGAAGUCGUAAUUGAGAAAAGUGUCAUCUAGAGUUUUAUUUUGUACUUUGUUAUUUGUGAGCCACUCUUGUAUACCCUUGAUGCAUUGAGUUGGACUGAUAGUUGAGUUGUAUUUGUGAACUGCUCUAAAGCUUUUAAGCAAAUAGUAGGUUUUAUUUAUUGGAGUGUGUCUCCUUGAGUGUAAUCAUUGAAAUCACGGGUUGUGUGAUUAAGAGAAAGUGAGAUGGGAUCUCAUAUCUAAGAGAUUCUUAAAUAGAAAUAUCACGGGAAGUGAUUAGGUGAGAAGGCAGUGAACCAACUACUGUUCACAUAGGACUUCAAACUAAUACUAUUAUAGUAGAUUUUCUUCCUGGCUUGGAUGUCCCCAGAUGUAGGUGACGUUGCACCGCACUGGGUUAACAAAUAUCUUGUGUUAUUUCCUUCUUGUACUUUACUUUAAAGUUGUUUAUUGUUUAUUGUGUUAAGUAUUUGUUAUUAAGUGUUAUGAACAUUUCAUUCGACAUUCUUGGUGUCCUGGACAUCUCAUAGAAUAUUUGUCCCGUACGUGCCAGAAUUUGAGUAUCAAUCUUUAUCUCGAAACUUUUGAAUCAUAUCAAAUAUUUUUUAUUCGUAUCAAAUCUUCACAACUUUAAAUUUUUUUUCCUUUUUCAUGUGUCUGAAUCGAAUCAUACUUAACAUGAUUCGAAUCAUGUAGUUGUUUUUGCCACAAAAAUUGCACUUGUCAGUCAUGUAUAUAUAUAGUUAUACUAAUACACCUUCCAACUUAUUUAAUCAAUUGCAAAUAAUAUUCUAGAGUCUCCAAACCUCUCUCUCCACUUGUUCUUGAGAUUAAACACUUUUUCUAAGAUUUUUUUGUGGAUUUUUAGUCAUAGAUUGCUAGAGUGUUAUAGGAAUUGUACACUAGUUUAUUUUGAAGUAACUUGAUUGAGGAUCAAGGAUCUAAAGGACAAGAGGGAUUUCUUUCCACCUCGAAGGGAAAUUGUGGGGGCUUUCUAACUUUUCAAGUUUAAGGGGAUCCAAAUUUCAAACAUAGAAAAUAAGAAUUCAAGGUGAAGGAAUUCCCAGGAUUUCAUGGGAACUUGAGUUUCGAAAACUUAGGAAAUCUCCAAUUUCAACGGGUACUUGAAGAUCGGUGGUGUUGUGAUUUCUUAGGAUUGAAGAUUAGGGUUAUCGAGGGAAUUAUUUGUAAUCCUAACAAUUUCUAAACAAUUUUCAACAAUAGUAAAAGUUCAUGAUAACGACGUUUUCUAUCAAGAAAAGUAAACAUAUCUCGAAGCGAGGACGAAAGGGGCAACUACUAUAAAUCCCGGUGUUCUCUACCCUAUCAUUUUAUAUUUUUGCCUUACUAUUUGUAUAUGAAUUUUGUGUUUGACACUAUUUGAUUUGAUUGUGAUUAAUUUUUUAACUUAACAUAAUCUCGAUUCAUUGAAUUAAGAUUCUUUUCAAAUUCAAUUUGAUCAUAAUUAAGUUUCGUCUCUAUGUGGUUUAUUGUAAUUAGGUUUGGUUUGAGUAUGUCUAAUUUUGAAAUUUUUAUGCUUGAUUAUUAAUAAUUGAUGAUUUUAAACAUUGUCUUAGACUUGUCAUCAUUGGAAUCUGAUAAGUCAUACGUUUUCAAUUCAGGCCUUCGCAAACUCUUUUGAAAAUCAAAAAACCUUUUUAAACCCCCCCAUAUGCACCUUCUUGUUCAUCGUAAAGACCAAUAAAUGACAUCAAGAACGUGGUCUGUUCACUAACAGUUAACUACCGAAAGAGUCGAUAUGAUGAACAAAGAGCCUUAGUGGGAGUACAGUAGGGCUCCAAUUUUUUACGGCAAAAAAUGUGAAUAUUGGAAAGAAUGCAUGAACUUCCAUAUUCAAUAAGUCGACAUGGAUGUUGGGAACGCCAUGGUCAACUAGCGGUCCGAACCUCAAGUUGAAGUUAACGGGGUUGCAAAAAUAAAACAUAAGGCCAAUUGGACCGACAGUGAUAAAAAGAAGAUUCAAUAUGAUUUGAAGGCAAGAAACAUUCUUAUUUCCACCAUUUGCGUGAAUGAGUAUCAAUCGGUUUCACAUUGUAAGGCCGCUAAGGCAAUAUUGGAUGCUUUGGAAACCCUCCAUGAGGGUACCGAAGACGUGAAGCAAUCAAAAUCAAUAUUCUCAUCUAACAAUAUGAACUAUUCACAUGGAGGAUGGUGAAACCAUCUCCUCCAUGCAAAUGAGCUUCACUCAUAUUGUUAACAAACCGCAAUACUUAGGAAAAGACAUCUCAAACGAAGAUUGUACUAACAAGGUACUGAGAUGCAUGACUAGAGAUUGGCAGUCCUAGGUCGCCGCAAUAAAGGAAUCUCAACCUUAACACCCUUGGAAUCACCAUUCUUUUUGGCAAGCUGAAAGAUCAUGAACACGAGAUCCUAAGGUUGAAAGAAAAUGAGGAAGAUAUCAAGAAAAAGGGAAAUAAGACCACUGCAUUCAAAGCCUCGUCGUCCAAGGCUAAACACUUGGUGGAAUAGGAUAAUGAUACCGAUGAAGACCUCACUGACAUGAGGAGAUGGAAUUAUCUGUGCACCUAUACCAUAGAUACAUUGAAAAAAAUGGGUUGAAGCAUAGUAUCAAAAAUCUUAUAAACUUUAGUAGAGCUAUUCUCAAAUGAGCUAAAUUCGAGAAGGAACAUGUACCCAAUUUAGAUGGAUGUGGAAAAUCAGGCUUCUUGAAAAUGAAUGUCUGGACUUGACCAAAGCAAGUAGAAAGUCCAAGUUUAACAUCAAUGGAAAGAGAAAAAGGAAGGAAAGCUUAUAUUGCAUGGGAGGACAAUGAUAAUAGUGAAAUUGCCGACCUAUGUCUCAUGGGACAUAAGCAUCAUGAAGUAAUUUUUUCCGACUCCUGUAACACCCCGUUUCCCAAAAUUAAUUAAAUAAUAAUAAUUCAACAUCAGAGUAAAAUCCAAACGGGCAUGUCACAUCACAUUUUCAAAAUCACUUUAAAUAGAAUAUAAAAAUCUAUUUAAUUAAACAUCAUUCGAAUUUAUCAUUAAAUCUGCAGCGGAAUAUUCUCAUCAAACAACAAUUCAUAACUGUUUUAAACUCCAUAAUAAAUUCUUGGCAUGAAAGCCUUAACAUCAUAAAAUCCAACAUCAAUAGGGCUACAACAGCAAUAUUCUAAAUUUGAUACAUAGGAAAGAAAUUAAACGAUGAAAUCUCAUCCCACGUAUCAGAGCCCUAGACACUUUGAGCCAGCACCAACUACUCAGGAUCACCUGCAAGUUACCCAUAGGAAGGGCAACAUUUUCAAGCAGAAGGGGUGAGAUUCACAACAAUAAUAUAGAUAAAGAAUGCAUCAAUUGAAUCUAACACCCUAUCAUAAUAAUUCAUCAACAUUAUAUUAAUNNNNNNNNNNNNNNNNNNNNNNNNNNNNNNNNNNNNNNNNNNNNNNNNNNNNNNNNNNNNNNNNNNNNNNNNNNNNNNNNNNNNNNNNNNNNNNNNNNNNCUCAUGGGACAUAAGCAUCAUGAAGUAAUUUUUUCCGACUCCUGUAACACCCCGUUUCCCAAAAUUAAUUAAAUAAUAAUAAUUCAACAUCAGAGUAAAAUCCAAACGGGCAUGUCACAUCACAUUUUCAAAAUCACUUUAAAUAGAAUAUAAAAAUCUAUUUAAUUAAACAUCCUUCGAAUUUAUCAUUAAAUCUGCAGCGGAAUAUUCUCAUCAAACAACAAUUCAUAACUGUUUUAAACUCCAUAAUAAAUUCUUGGCAUGAAAGCCUUAACAUCAUAAAAUCCAACAUCAAUAGGGCUACAACAGCAAUAUUCUAAAUUUGAUACAUAGGAAAGAAAUUAAACGAUGAAAUCUCAUCCCACGUAUCAGAGCCCUAGACACUUUGAGCCAGCACCAACUACUCAGGAUCACCUGCAAGUUACCCAUAGGAAGGGCAACAUUUUCAAGCAGAAGGGGUGAGAUUCACAACAAUAAUAUAGAUAAAGAAUGCAUCAAUUGAAUCUAACACCCUAUCAUAAUAAUUCAUCAACAUUAUAUUAAUAUCAUCAUUUUCAAUGUCAUCAACAAAUGGUAAUUAAAAACCAACUCAACGAAUCAUGCAACUCAUCACCACUCCACUAAGACUCCUCUAACAACACCCAUGUAUGUGGUACCAUAAUCAGGACCGUAGCCCUCACCGCUGUAGAAUGGUUAAAGCAUUCAUUUUCAGGACAUAAGUCCUCACCACUAAACACCACUUUGAGCAACUAGUGCUCCACCACUUUGAACGACAAGGCGUUCCAGAGCCGAAGCUCUCCCACUGUUAUGCUUAUGCAGCUGACCCACUUGUGUAUAUCUACAUACAACCCAACCUAUGCAUAUAUAUGUAUAUGACUCACCACUCCAAAAUACAACAUUCAUGUAUGACUUAAUUAAAUGAAGCAUACAUUCCAGCCAGCAUCAAUUCAUUAUAACCAAUUUAGAACAUCCAGAAAAAUACACCAUUAUAAUAGCCAUGCUUAAUCAUCAAGAUAAAUCAACCAUCAACAACAUAAUCAAUCAAACAAAUACUGGGCAACUCGCCUCGCGAGCACAUAUGCUCGCUAUGGCGAGCUCAAAAAACAGGACACUCGCCAUGGCGAGUUCGAGGCGAACGAAAAUAUGGUGCUCUCGGGAGUUUUGACAUUUUUCUCACUAAAUCAUCAAUUCUAAGCUCCCUAUUCAUCUUUUUAAUCUAAAACUUGCUCCAGUCCUCUCUUAAAUCAUCUAGGUACAUAAAACUACCCAAAUUACGGCUUAUAACAACACUUUAAAAAUCCAGUUUUCCUCACAGGUACUCGCCAUGGCGAGCAAAGGCUACUCGCGAGGCGAGCGAUGAACUUUCUGUAGGGGCAGAAUGCAGGUUUUUCCCAAAAAUUCCAUUUUCCUCCAAUCCACUCCCCAAAUCAGUUUACAGAUAUGAAUGAAUGGUUAUAUGCACUCAGAACCCAUUUCUAACAUCAAUAAAGCAAUCCUUACUCUCAAAACCCAUUAAUCUAACAAAAACCUAGUUUCUCCCAAUUCUCUCAUAAACCUAUUAAAAUCAAAAUCAGAAUUCAGAACCUAUACAAUUGCGGUAAACCUCACCCUUACCUUAGAAUUGCAGAAAAAUAAGCACAUCAAUUGACAGACUUGGCUCUCCUUGCUCUUCUCUCCUUUUUCUCCCAAAACUUGAUUUUCACGUAAAAACGUUUUUCUGACUUUUCUCUUUUCUUAACUCCCAAAAAGUAACUUCCCUUUCUUUUCAUUAAACUCCCCUUAAUUCUAUUAAAUAUUAAUUAACUCCCCACACUCCAAAAUAAUAUUAAUUCUCACUUAUUCUAAUUAUUAUUAAAAUAAACUAUAUAAUAAAAUCUAACACACCAUAAAAUCCACAAAUAUUAUUUUAAAAUCAUAAAUAGACUCCACAUAAAUCCAAAAUAAUUAAAUUAAAGACUAGGGCGUUACAACUCCAAAUCCAAAUAUAAUCCUUCCCAUGAGAAAUUACAAGAAGCUCUAGUAGACAUGCAUGAUGAUGCUUUGAAAGCUUUUGAGAAAUUAAUUGUUUAAAAGAAAAAUAAUCUAAAACUGGAAGCCGAGCUUUCACCACGUAAAAAUAAUUUAAAAUGUUGAAAAGACGAGUAUGCAUCUCUAGUAAAUGAGAAAAUUCUAAUUCCUCACAUUGAGCCACCUAAAGCUAAUUCAUCCAAGUAUGAUUCAAAUUGGAUGGAUUUUUCAAGUUGUGAAACUUGUCCUAGUUUACACGAACAGAUUAAAUCUCUAACAUGUAAACAUGAACAAGCCUCCAAAUCCCCAUAGUUUUGCGUGAAUAAGAAAUCCGACGCGGGGGCUGGUAAAGAGAACUUCUCCUUGUCUCCCACUACUCAGAUCUAAACUUAUCCCUUACGAAUCAAAGAGAAAUUGAACCAACAAUAUUUACUAGUGAUUAGAGUAUGGACUUCAUUUUUCUAAAUAUCAAGACAGUUGAAUUGACAAGUUUCGGAGGUUAACGAGCUUCGAAAUUCGUAAAUCAAUNNNNNNNNNNNNNNNNNNNNNNNNNNNNNNNNNNNNNNNNNNNNNNNNNNNNNNNNNNNNNNNNNNNNNNNNNNNNNNNNNNNNNNNNNNNNNNNNNNNNCUUCCUUGGAAAUGCGGAAAAUUAGCACAUCAAUUGACAGACUUGCCUCUCCUUCUCUUCUCUCCUUUUCUCCCAAAACCUGAUUUUACGUAAAAACUUUUUCUGACUUUCUCUUUUCUUAACUCCCAAAAAGUAACUUCCCUUUUUUUCAUUAAACUCCCCUUAAUUCUAUUAAAUAUUAAUUAACUCCCCACACUCCAAAAUAAUAUUAAUUCUCACUUAUUCUAAUUAUUAUUAAAAUAAACUAUAUAAUAAAAUCUAACACACCAUAAAAUCCACAAAUAUUAUUUUAAAAUCAUAAAUAGACUCCACAUAAAUCCAAAAUAAUUAAAUUAAAGACUAGGGCGUUACAACUCCAAAUCCAAAUAUAAUCCUUCCUAUGAGAAAUUACAAGAAGCUCUAGUAGACAUGCAUGAUGAUGCUUUGAAAGCUUUUGAGAAAUUAAUUGUUUAAAAGAAAAAUAAUCUAAAACUGGAAGCCGAGCUUUCACCACGUAAAAAUAAUUUAAAAUGUUGAAAAGACGAGUAUGCAUCUCUAGUAAAUGAGAAAAUUCUAAUUCCUCACAUUGAGCCACCUAAAGCUAAUUCAUCCAAGUAUGAUUCAAAUUGGAUGGAUUUUUCAAGUUGUGAAACUUGUCCUAGUUUACACGAACAGAUUAAAUCUCUAACAUGUAAACAUGAACAAGCCUCCAAAUCCCCAUAGUUUUGCGUGAAUAAGAAAUCCGACGCGGGGGCUGGUAAAGAGAACUUCUCCUUGUCUCCCACUACUCAGAUCUAAACUUAUCCCUUACGAAUCAAAGAGAAAUUGAACCAACAAUAUUUACUAGUGAUUAGGUUAUGGUUUUCAUUUUUCAAGAGUCAAGACAUUUGAUUGUUGAAUUUGAUUAUGAUGGAUAAAAGGAUUUUAAUGAUGAACUAUUUUUUUUAGUCAAUCUUAGUUGAAAGGAUAAGAGUCAUCUUAGUUGAAAAUAUGGUGUCAAUCUUAGUUGUGGGUUUCUCUUAGUCAAUUACGAUCAUCCAACUCAUUGUACGCUCUAUAACGCACUAGUUGUUAUUUUAAUUAUUUCUGAUUUAUUUAGAGUCUUUUAUAUGAUUUUAAAUAAUUAUUGUUGAUUAUGUGGUGUGUUAUAUUUUAUUAAAUGAUUUAUUUUUAGUAUUUAUUAGAAUAAUAUGAGAAAUAGAAUUAUUUGGAAUUCUAGGGGUUAUAUUUUAAUUAAGGGAAUUAAGCGGAAGUUAAUUAGAAUUAAGAGGGAGUUAAGUAAGGAGUUGGAGAAGUCAGAAAAACAGUUUUACGUACAAGCAGUUUUUGGGAGAAAAGGCUAGGAGAAGAGAAACCAAGAGGAGAGAACAAGAAUUCUGUAGAGCUUUGUUCUUCGAUUAAGGUAAGGGUGAGGUUUACUCUCAAUAGUAUAGAUUAAAGUUCUGAUUUUGAUUUUAACAUGAGGGUUUUGGUUAAUUUGGGAAUUGGGUUUAUAUUUUGAUUCUUUGAUUUUUGGAUGAAAUGAGUGUAGAAACCACUGUAUUAGUGUUAGAAUGCAUUCAGGAGGGUUGUCUCUUGUUCAUUGGAGGAGUCAAUAUACAUGGGAAGCUCUUUAUCAUAAUGAGAACUUGGGGUCUAUUUCCUUAGAGGUGGAUGAGACUGAUGUAGGAGGGUUUUCUUAGUAAUUUAUUAGUAUUUAUUAAUUCAGCCUAAUUUUAUUAUUUGUUUGUUUUAUUUUAUGUUUGUUAUUUUUGGCCCUUUAAGGUUUGUUAUUUCCCUAGUUAAGCUUUACAGAUGUAGCCUAAGAGGCAACUUUUUAUUCAAUAUUAUUUCAGAGAGCUUUUCUCAAUUUUUGGUGGUUUCCAGAACCUUUAUUUCAUAAGUUUGUCGAAUGCAAACUUGUCUUUUUUCAAUCUAGGUUUAAAGCUUGCUAGCCUACGCUUCUGUACUGCAUCACAUCCACAUUGGUUUUGAUCCAAGAGAGGGAGAAGGUGGAGUUUGUAAAACCUCUAAGAGGGUAUGACUCAUAGCACUCUUGGCUGUAGUCUAGAAAAUUGAGUUACUUUGAAAUCGUGCAUGGAGUCAUUGCCAUGACCUUUAAUUAGCUUGUAGUUGAAGUUAUUUUCUGAUAUUAUCCUAUCUAUCAGACUUUUCAUGUGAUCUUUGAAGCACCUCUUGUUUCUUUCAAUCCAAACGAGUCAAACUAUAUGCAACUUGGCAGAAAUGAUUAUAAAAUUUGGGGCCUAACUCAUAUGUACAAAACUAGUUUGUAAGGUGAGAGGUGCUUCCUCUUAAUAAACACUUCUUAACAGUCCUAUCUAUCCAAUGUGGGACAAAAUCCAGCCCCUCAAAGCCAACACAAUGAAGGUGUUAGAGGCUGUAAUGAAGGCAAACCAAAGGUCGCAAUUUAGGCGACUAGGGGCGGACCGUAAUAAAGGUGGAAUUUCCAAGACACCCCGUCACGCUUCAGCCUAGCCCAAUGGGCCUAAAGCGUGGAUGAUAUGGGAUACCCAACAAAAGAUCUAGGAUAGGCUCUGAUACUAUGUCGAAAUUUAGGGUCUAACUCAUUCUUACAAAACCGACUUGUAAGGUGAGGAGUGUCUCGUAUGGUUAUUUUGCAUAUUAUUGAGAAAAUGUAUUUGAUUCGAUGCUGGAAAAAUAAACGUCCAAGUUUUAACUUCAUAUCCACAUGAAAAAACUACAAUAUUAUUUAUCGUACGUAUGAUACAGUCCUAUCAAAUUGGAAUGUAAGCACGGACCGGUGAAUACAAGGGUAUUAUUUUAUUUUAUUUUGGGGGGGCGGGGGGAGGUGGGACCAAUAAGAGGGGCCGAUAGAACUAGUUUGUUGUUGUGGUAUAAAACUUACAUUGGCCCAAGUCCAUUAACCUAAACCUAAUUUCAUCUUCUCUCUCGGUGGAAAUUGCAUAUAAAAGUGGCCGCAUCCACAAUAUAUUUCUCCCCAAUUUCUUCUUCUUCCUUAUUUUUCCUUUGUUUUAUGUUUACCAGUUUUUUCGCGAUUCUUCAUACUGUUUGUUUUUCUGUUCACGUGUUCUCAUAUAUACUUUAUUUAUUAAAUCAAAUUUUCAAUAUCUCAGUGCCUCUUAAAUUCCAUUAGAGAUUGAUCCUUGAUUCAUCUGAAAAGUUCAGAAAUUAAUCUAGUUGUCAAACUGUGUGCUUUAAAUUUGAUUUACAACUAAUUUGUAACGACAAUACCAAUCAAUAGAAUUAUCAAUCUAAUAGUUUGACCAUUUCUUCUACAUGUUUUGUUUUUUCUCAAAAUUGUUCAGAUUUACAGAUCCAGUUUGAUCAUUGCAAUAAUGGAUGAAGGUCAAUCUGCAGAUGGGAAUGAAGAUAUUCAUCAAAUAAAAUUGUCAAAAACCUCCAAAUCAAAUCGACGAAAUACCAAAAGUAUCCAAAAAUAAUAUGUAUUUUUUUUUGAAAAGAUCCAUAAAUAUUAAAUUGUUAUCCAUUUAAUUGUUAAAUAUUCAAUAUUUAAAUGGUGGCUAACAUUCAUUUGUACAUUACAAAAUUUGAAUGAGCUUUUUUUUUUUUUUUUUUUUUUAAUUUUCAAUUCAAACUGCCAAAGAUGAUAACCAUGCUUUGGUCACUAUUCAAGACUCUAAAGGCUUGUUUGAUCUCAUAAUCAGUAAGUUUCAUAUAUUUGAAAUGAAUGUAUUUGAAUUCCAAAAGAAAAUUCAAGAUGAAUUUCAACUUCCUGAUAUAGGUUAGUAUCAUUUUUCCCUUCCAACUAAAUAUUAAGUCUAAUUUUUAGUCAUUAAAUAUACCUUGCAAUUUUUUAUUUUUUAUGUUUUCAAUACUCUAUAUUAAUAUUAUGCAGUAGUUUCACUAUAGUAUAAGUUAUGAUAUAUUUAAAUAUAUGACAUUUUACCUUUUGUUUCAAAUAGUGAUGUCUAAAGACAAUACAUGUACCAGACAUUAUCUCCAUGACUUUAGAACUUGGAGCAGCACGCUAUAUUGUUAACGCAUUUUGUGCUGAAAACUUUAGAGACAUUUGGAAGUAUGCAUUGGAAGCAAAGAAAAAUAAACUAUUUAUUG
RNAcentral lists this long non-coding RNA (22464 nucleotides) under Medicago truncatula (barrel medic). RNAcentral describes it as "long non-coding RNA (MTRU_LNC004291)". Lineage: Eukaryota; Viridiplantae; Streptophyta; Magnoliopsida; Fabales; Fabaceae. The record is from RNAcentral.